GAGGAGAAUAAUUCGCAAUGGGCGAAAGCCUGACGGUGCGACGCCGCGUGAGGGAUGAAGGCCUUCGGGUUGUAAACCUCUGUCAGGAGUAGGGAACGGCGGGGGCGCUAAUAGCGCUUCCGCGUGACUAAGGCUCCAAAGGAAGCGCCGGCUAACUACGUGCCAGCAGCCGCGGUAAUACGUAGGGCGCAAGCGUUACUCGGAAUCACUGGGCAUAAAGGGCGUGUAGGCGGAUACGUAAGUCCGGUGUGAAAGCCCCCGGCUCAACUGGGGAAAGUCAUUGGAUACUGCGUGUCUCGAGUGCGGGAGGGGAGAGUGGAACUCUUGGUGGAGCGGUGAAAUGCGUAGAUAUCAAGAGGAACGCCGGUGGCGAAAGCGGCUCUCUGGCCCGUUACUGACGCUGAGGCGCGAAAGCUAGGGGAGCAAACGGGAUUAGAAACCCGUGUAGUCC
RNAcentral lists this ribosomal RNA (451 nucleotides) under uncultured bacterium. RNAcentral describes it as "bacterial SSU rRNA". It matches the Rfam family "Bacterial small subunit ribosomal RNA", at positions 354 to 796 of the family's 1533-position model. The record is from RNAcentral.